This 76-nucleotide transfer RNA is filed under the name Christensenellaceae bacterium. Its description in RNAcentral is "tRNA-Lys". It matches the Rfam family "tRNA". From Rfam's summary of the family: Transfer RNA (tRNA) molecules are approximately 80 nucleotides in length. Their secondary structure includes four short double-helical elements and three loops (D, anti-codon, and T loops). The record is from RNAcentral. Lineage: Bacteria; Bacillati; Bacillota; Clostridia; Christensenellales; Christensenellaceae.
GGCCCACUAGCUCAGUUGGUAGAGCAAGGGACUCUUAAUCCCUGUGUCGAAGGUUCGAGCCCUUCGUGGGUCACCA